GAACCUUACGUGGGCUUGAUAACCUAAGAACCUUAUAGAGAUAAGAGGGGGCUUGCUGGCGAGGACUUCGGGACAGGUGCUGAACGGCUGGCGUCAGCUCGAGUCGUGUGAUGUUGGGUUACACCUCUCUAAGAGCCCAUUCCACGUGCUAUGCCGGCAACGGUAAUGCCGAGCGCACUUGAUAUGCUGCCU
RNAcentral lists this ribosomal RNA (192 nucleotides) under Campylobacter jejuni. Its description in RNAcentral is "partial 16S ribosomal RNA". It matches the Rfam family "Bacterial small subunit ribosomal RNA", at positions 966 to 1154 of the family's 1533-position model. Lineage: Bacteria; Pseudomonadati; Campylobacterota; Epsilonproteobacteria; Campylobacterales; Campylobacteraceae. The record is from RNAcentral.